This 235-nucleotide long non-coding RNA is filed under the name Capsicum annuum. Its description in RNAcentral is "long non-coding RNA (CANN_LNC015681)". Lineage: Eukaryota; Viridiplantae; Streptophyta; Magnoliopsida; Solanales; Solanaceae. The record is from RNAcentral.
UUAUGUAGGAAAAUAUUGGAGUCAAAGUGGUUGCCUAGGGUAUAAUUGGUGGGUACCACUCAUAUGUUAGGGUAUGAUUUGGGUGGGUAGUCGUACCCACCUGCAGGAAUUCUAUUACAGUUUAAGUUGGGGGUAUUCUGGACAUUUCCCCUCUUAACCUAUCAUUAUCCCACAUACUAAAACACUAUUGUGACUUCAUUUACCCUAUUUUAUAAUCAUAAACACUUAAAAACUC